GCAUUGGUGGGUCAGUUGUAUAAUUCUCAUCUUCCAUGUGGGAGACCAGGGUUCAAUUCCUGGCCAGUGCA
This 71-nucleotide transfer RNA is filed under the name Loxodonta africana (African savanna elephant). It matches the Rfam family "tRNA". Rfam says of the family: Transfer RNA (tRNA) molecules are approximately 80 nucleotides in length. Their secondary structure includes four short double-helical elements and three loops (D, anti-codon, and T loops). Further hydrogen bonds mediate the characteristic L-shaped molecular structure. tRNAs have two regions of fundamental functional importance: the anti-codon, which is responsible for specific mRNA codon recognition, and the 3' end, to which the tRNAs corresponding amino acid is attached (by aminoacyl-tRNA synthetases). tRNAs cope with the degeneracy of the genetic code in two manners: having more than one tRNA (with a specific anti-codon) for a particular amino acid; and 'wobble' base-pairing, i.e. permitting non-standard base-pairing at the 3rd anti-codon position. The record is from Rfam by way of RNAcentral. Lineage: Eukaryota; Metazoa; Chordata; Mammalia; Proboscidea; Elephantidae.